Molecule: RNA transcript, 1733 nt
Organism: Nasonia vitripennis (jewel wasp)
Lineage: Eukaryota; Metazoa; Arthropoda; Insecta; Hymenoptera; Pteromalidae
Exons: 7
Source: RefSeq, a predicted model, not a curated record
GUAUGUACCUGGCAUUGCAUUGCUAACUUCAGUCAUUGACUCAUCAAGAUACACAAAUAUUUGGAACUUUCAAAAUUUUUUAAUUCUUCGUCCAAGCUACAAAAAAAUUUCAUUUCGAACGUAUAAAUUAUUAGCAAGUAAUUCUUCCAAGGUUACCAAAAAUCUAUUUUUAAUCUAAAUCUGUUUUUAUAUCAUUUACAAGACAACGUUUCUGGAUUCUAACCUACUUCCAUUGGUAAAAUAGUUCGAAAACGUGAGAAAGCUGAUUUUUUCUAAGUGUCUCAAGAGAGAGAAUCCGGCAGCGAGCGAUAUUUUCCCACUGUUCCAAACGCAUGCGAUCAGGAGCUCACGUGUCGGGAGAGUAUCGGAACUAUGCGCAAACUACAGGGCGACGAUGAUGACUGCUGCCGAUACAGAGAAAAACUCGCCGCAGAAAAACGAAGAGCCAACAGGGCAUCGCGGAACGCGAGGAAAAACGUGACGGUCUACUACUGCAGUGGAAUGAGAGAUGUCGGUGCUGGUGCGUUUGGUCACGCGCAAUCGAGAUUAUCGGGAUGCUGUCGCGCAGGAAAGAUAUGCAAAAGAAUAAAGAAACCUGAGAAAAUGUCGUCAGGUUUGGAUCAAGCUUUGACCAGGAUGAAGCCAUCCUUUGACGAAAGAAGCAAAUAUGCCAAUGUCAAGCAUAUUCUUUGCAUUCUGGAUACGGAAGAAGCUGUGAGACUGAAGAAAGUUAAAGAACUGAGGGAGGCCAUGGAGAAAAAAGAAAAUUGCGAUGAACCUGAUAGUGAAAGCGAAGUAAGGAAAAAAGCAGCAAUUGGAAAUUCUGAAGCGGAUAAAAAAGGUGGAGGGUCCAAUAGCGAUAAUGUAAAGGGUAAAGGAGCCCAAGGGAAGGAUGAAGACACCGUUGGAGGAAAGAAGAGCAAACCGGUUUUGCGCGAUAGGAAUAGAGAUGGGAAAACCCAGAGGAAAACCAACAUGGUUAAGGAUGAAUUUGCCAGUGCAGAGGGUGAGCGCGAAUGCAACUCGAUAUGUUCAAUUGAUAGCGAAGUAGACGUUGGAGUGAAACGCUCCGUAAUAAAAAUUAACGGCAAAAACUUGACGAAAUCCUUACCGGUUCUACAUUUUUUUUCGUCGUCCAAACAGUCGAGUAAUAAAUAGUAGUUCUGAGUCAAUUCUCAAGAAGGUUACACAAUAAAAAAUUUGACCGGGCAUUAAUAUUAAAAACUGGUUCUACGAUAUUAAGCCAGUGAACCUAUAGUCGAGCGGUGGAUGUCAAAGAAUUUCUGGUCUCUAUCAUGCAUUUAGGAAAAUUUUUGCCUGUUAUGACUUUCAUGUUUAGUAAGGUCUGUGGUCUAUAUUGACUUGACAAAAUUUUCAUCGAUUAAAACAGGCGAUGGAUUUCCGGAAAAAGUUGUCGCAUUGCAUGAGUUGGCACUUGGAAAAUUGUUUGUACAUAAUUUUAAUGACUGAUGAAUUCGCAUUAACCAAGGAAGAAAUAAGCUCUAUUGAAAAGAAUCAUAAACAACCUGAUUCGCAAAAGGAUGAUCAACAAAAAGAAAUGGAUUCAGCUGAUGAUGUGAUAAACAAGCCAUAAAGACUAUAGUGAAAAAAUACACAUUCCUAUUUUUUAAUAUUGUAUUUAUAACCUAAACUAAACAAAAUUGAUAACGUAUGAGUAUAUCAACGAUUUUAAAAAAAUGAAUUACCCAAAAUUAAAUGAAUAUCCAAAAGCA